CAAUAGCAUAUAUUAACGUUGUUGCAGUUGAAAAGCUCGUAGUUGAACUUUUGGUAGGAGCGACCUGGCCUUGGGCGCAUGCCCUUGUUUGCCGUGUGUCGUAUCUGGCCAUCCUUUUCUUCGUUUUUCGGAGGAAUCUUUUACUGUGAGUAAACUGGAGUGCUCAAAACAAGACGUUUGUUUGGUACAUUAAAGCAUGGAAUAAUAAGAUAGGACCUGGUUACUAUUUUGUUGGUUUGCAUAGCUAGGUAAUGAUUAACAGGGACAGUUGGGGGUAUUCGUAUUUAAUUGUCAGAGGUGAAAUUCUUGGAUUUAUGAAAGACGAACGACUGCGAAAGCAUUUGCCAAGGAUGUUUUCAUUGA
This 363-nucleotide ribosomal RNA is filed under the name uncultured eukaryote. Its description in RNAcentral is "partial 18S ribosomal RNA". It matches the Rfam family "Eukaryotic small subunit ribosomal RNA", at positions 592 to 976 of the family's 1831-position model. The record is from RNAcentral.